Long non-coding RNA from Aethina tumida (small hive beetle), 1685 nucleotides. RefSeq lists it as uncharacterized. The record is from RefSeq and is a predicted model, not a curated record. The transcript is spliced from 3 exons. NCBI's taxonomy places the organism in Eukaryota, Metazoa, Arthropoda, Insecta, Coleoptera, Nitidulidae.
ACGUAUUAUACUGUAAGUAUUUUUCUAGAACUGCUAAUGAAGUACAUGAUGUUAUGUCGUAUGUGGUACUGUCUUAUGCACUAACAUUUACCUUUGUUGGUAUUGCUACUGUAGUUACUUUUACCACGAAAGAGAUAAAAACAUACCAACAUAUCAUUUUCUAUGCGCUUGCACUAUGUACUUUUACACAUGGAGGUCAAUUCUGUUCCGAUCAGAACGAUAAGUUGCAUGAAAUACUAUGUAAGGUUUCAUGGUACACCUGGAACGUCGAAAACAGAAAAAUGUACCUAAUAAUUCUCACAAACGUUAAGCAAUCAUUGGAUUUUUAUUUCACAUUUGGUAUAAUAAUUAACCACGAAUUUUUGUUACAGGUACUUAUAUGAAGAAGUAUUUUAUGACAUUAAUUUAAUAACUAUGUUGUAGAUGGUUAAAUUUAUUUUUUCUGCUGUUACACUUAUAAGAAAUUUAAUUUAAAUUAUAAUCUUGGGACGAAAUAUAGUAAUAAUUUAUGUUAAUGUUUAUCACAGAAAUUAUAAUGAUAAUAGUUAUUUUCUAUUAGUUAAAAUAAUUUAUUUAAUAAAUUAUAUUACUGCUACUUUUUCAAAUAUGUAUUGUAUUUUUACCACACGAUAAAAAAAUUCAAAAUAAUAUCUUAUUACUGGUAAACAAUUUAAACAUUUUAAUUAUUUUUCUUAUUUUCUCAAGUCGCCCGGGCACUUAGUAUGAUUCAGGGUGGUAUCCGACAAAUUGAUGUUGCGAUAGCAGACAGUGUGAAAGCAGACUUGUAAAGAGAAACCGAGAAACGCGUAGUGUACGUAGAAAGCCUGGAUAGGGUAGACCAAGGUGCACAACCAUCAGGCAAGACCGUUACAUCACCCAAAAUGCAAGAAGCAAGACCAGAAUAUCGGUUACCUUGAUACGUCGCCAAUUGCACAUCGUCACUGGUAGAAGAGUAUCUGUUACAGCUAUUCGUGUCUAGACCACUUAGAAGAGUACUCCUCACUGAUCAACACCGACAAGACAGGGUGCAAUGGGCACGAGAGAGACAACAUUGACCGAAUAGAACGCCGUGAUGUAUUUUGAUGAGCACAAGUGUGGUACAUAACUAUACGAAACGAGUUCGGACGUGUAGGCCAAGAAAUCUUCCAAGGCAACAAGGAUUUGUCCAAGAAGUUCACGCUUUUAGAGGUGGCUCGAUAAUGGUUUGGGGUGGCAUCGCUCUACAUCUCCGGACGCCAUUUGUAACUGCAACAUGAUCAUCACAAACUUUGUCAACCCCAUUUCCGAGGAGAUAGGAGUAGAAUUCCAUUUAUUAAACAACAACGCACGGCCUCAUAGGGCACGAAGCGUUCUUAAUAGUUCUUGAAAUUUCGCAUCUUCCUUUGCCAUCGACGUCACCCGACCUGAAUCCCAUCGAACACAUGUGGGAUGUUCUUCAAAGGGCAUUAGAUCCUCACAUCAUACUUCUGCAGUUACGAGAUGCCUUACGUUAAAUCUGGGAAAAUGCAAACAUGCCUCAUCGUGUUAAAGUUGUUGUGGAAGUUAAAAAUGGCCCUACAGGAUAUUGAACCGUUUUUCAAAACCUUUCAUUUUGCAAUUACAUUUACUUUAUUUUUAAAAGGAGUUGCAUUGUAUUAUUUUUUAUUUUUGUAAAAAUCAACGUACUUUGGGAAUAUUUAUCUCGA